ACGUAGGGUGCAAGCGUUAAUCGGAAUUACUGGGCGUAAAGCGUGCGCAGGCGGCUUGCUAAGACAGGUGUGAAAGCCCCGGGCUUAACCUGGGAAUUGCGCUUGUGACUGGCAGGCUGGAGUGUGGCAGAGGGAGGUGGAAUUCCACGUGUAGCAGUGAAAUGCGUAGAGAUGUGGAGGAACACCGAUGGCGAAGGCAGCCUCCUGGGCCAGCACUGACGCUCAUGCACGAAAGCGUGGGGAGCAAACAGGA
Molecule: ribosomal RNA, 253 nt
Filed under: uncultured prokaryote
Description: partial 16S ribosomal RNA
Rfam family: Bacterial small subunit ribosomal RNA
Source: RNAcentral